CACGGGGGGAGCAAGCGUUGUUCGGAAUCACUGGGCGUAAAGGGCGUGUAGGCGGUCAAGUAAGUGGAAUGUGAAAGCCCCCGGCUUACCCGGGGAUCUGCAUCCCAAACUGCUUGGCUUGAGUACGGGAGAGGAUAGGGGAAUUCCUGGUGUAGCGGUGAAAUGCGUAGAUAUCAGGAGGAACACCGGUGGCGAAGGCGCCUAUCUGGCCCAAUACUGACGCUGAGGCGCGAAAGCUAGGGGAGCAAACGGG
RNAcentral lists this ribosomal RNA (253 nucleotides) under uncultured bacterium. RNAcentral describes it as "partial 16S ribosomal RNA". It matches the Rfam family "Bacterial small subunit ribosomal RNA", at positions 524 to 776 of the family's 1533-position model. The record is from RNAcentral.